Molecule: ribosomal RNA, 495 nt
Filed under: uncultured bacterium
Lineage: Bacteria
Description: bacterial SSU rRNA
Rfam family: Bacterial small subunit ribosomal RNA
Source: RNAcentral
AAAGGAAUUGACGGGGGCCCGCACAAGCGGUGGAGCAUGUGGUUCAAUUCGACGCAACGCGAAGAACCUUACCUGGGCUCGAACGGCCGGUCAACGGUGGCGGAAACGCUGCUACCCCGCAAGGGGGUCCGGUCGAGGUGCUGCAUGGCUGUCGUCAGCUCGUGUCGUGAGAUGUUGGGUUAAGUCCCGCAACGAGCGCAACCCUUGUCCUGUGUUGCCACUCCGCAAGGAAGCACUCGCAGGAGACCGCCAGCGAUAAGCUGGAGGAAGGUGGGGAUGACGUCAAGUCCUCAUGGCCUUUAUGUCCAGGGCUACACACGUGCUACAAUGGCCGGUACAAUACGCUGCAAACCCGCGAGGGGGAGCCAAUCGUAAAAAACCGGUCUCAGUUCGGAUUGCAGGCUGCAACCCGCCUGCAUGAAGCUGGAAUCGCUAGUAAUGGCAGAUCAGCAUGCUGCCGUGAAUACGUUCCCGGGCCUUGUACACACCGCCCGU